AUUGCCGGUUGCAUAAUCUCCAUUCAAGUUCAACGGACUUAUGACGACUCGAAGUUCAGAGGAAAUUGUGGUUAUGGCAGCCAUGUUCGACCAAGGAAUCAUCUUGCAGGAUGAGACCAAUGUUGGUGUACCGCACCUGCCCAGGUCGCCUGCUGUACACCCGAUCUGGACCCCCCAGUUGUUUCAGGCUCGUGAGCCCACCACCUUUGAGUUAAUGGGAAUGAUCAGCGACCUCCCGAGAUCUGUGGCCGAUC
This 254-nucleotide small RNA is filed under the name Camellia sinensis. RNAcentral's name for it is "transcribed RNA". The record is from RNAcentral. Lineage: Eukaryota; Viridiplantae; Streptophyta; Magnoliopsida; Ericales; Theaceae.